This 319-nucleotide long non-coding RNA is filed under the name Manihot esculenta (cassava). Its description in RNAcentral is "long non-coding RNA (MESC_LNC012563)". Lineage: Eukaryota; Viridiplantae; Streptophyta; Magnoliopsida; Malpighiales; Euphorbiaceae. The record is from RNAcentral.
UCCUUUGUGAGUAUUCUUUCAUGUUUUCAUUCAAUCUUGCAAAGAUUUGAUUAGUUUUUAUGGUAUUUUGAAGGUUUUAAGCUAAAUCUCAAAGUUGUGAAGUUUGGAGAGUUUGAAGGAGAGUUGCUCCAAAACUCCACGUUAGGAUCAUUCAUCUUCUUGGUUUCAAGAGGUAAGUGAAGAUCCUGAGCUUGUUUUUAUGUUUUCUGAAGGUUUUAUGUGGUUUUGGGGGAGAGUUGCAUGAAUAGUGUUAUUUGUGAGGUUUUAAUGAUUUGGUGAGUAAAGCUUGUUUCUGUGUUGUUUGUUUUGUGUGUUUGGG